CCUUCGUUGAGAAAAUGGACUGAAACGACAGCAAAUGAAAAGGCUUCAAUCUUUGAAGAAAAGAAGCUAGCUUCAAUGUCCAACAAUGACAAUGAUGAAUGUAUGACAAGACAUGUCAGUUACAGAGGCUUUGCACCUACAAAUUGAAAUUCAAAAGCAGCUCCAUGAACAAUUCAAGGUGCAGACAUGUAGACCUGUGCCCAAGAAAUUCAAGGGAGAAUGCGUUUCUACAAAGUAGAAAUUGCAAGAGUUUGCUGGUUUAGUGUUGUUG
Alnus glutinosa is the source of this 271-nucleotide long non-coding RNA. RefSeq lists it as uncharacterized. The record is from RefSeq and is a predicted model, not a curated record. The transcript is spliced from 3 exons. Lineage: Eukaryota; Viridiplantae; Streptophyta; Magnoliopsida; Fagales; Betulaceae.